CAAUAGCGUAUACUAAAGUUGUUGCAGUUAAAAAGCUCGUAGUUGAAUUUCUGGUCGUGGCGACCGGUCCGCCCCUCACGGGUGGUGCACCUGGUCUCUGCGUCCAUCCUCGGGGAGGAGCGUAUCUGGCAUUCAGUUGUCGGGUGCGGGAUCCUCGUCAUUUACUGUGAGCAAAAUAAGAGUGUUCAAAGACAGGCUUAGGCCGUUGAAUACAUUAGCAUGGAAUAAUAAGAUAGGACCUUGGUCUAUUUUGUUGGUUUGCAUUCCAAGGUAAUGAUUAAUAGGGAUAGUUGGGGGUAGUUCUAUUCAAUUGUCAGAGGUGAAAUUCUUGGAUUUAUGGAAGACGAACUACUGCGAAAGCAUUUACCAAGGAUGUUUUCAUUAAUCAAGAACGAAAGUUAGGGGAUCGAAGAUGAUUAGAUACCAU
This 427-nucleotide ribosomal RNA is filed under the name uncultured eukaryote. RNAcentral's name for it is "SSU rRNA". It matches the Rfam family "Eukaryotic small subunit ribosomal RNA", at positions 592 to 1018 of the family's 1831-position model. The record is from RNAcentral.